GAUGAACGCUGGCGGCGUGCUUAACACAUGCAAGUCGAACGAAGAAUCUAAGACAGUUUUCUUCGGAUUGUAGUCUUUUAUGACUGAGUGGCGGAUGGGUGAGUAACGUGUGGGUAACCUGUCACAUCCAGGGGGAUAGCCUCAGGCCACGGCAGAUAAUAAAGCAUAAGCGCCAAGUAUCAAAUGGUACAUUGUGAAAACCUCUAGUGGUAUGAGAUGGACCCGCGUUGGAUUAGCAUGUUGGCGGGUUAACGGGCCACCAAGGCGACAAUCCGUAGCCGAGAAGAGAGACAGGCCCGACACACUGAGAGUGAGACGCGGCCGGGACUCCUACGGGAGGCAGCAGUGGGGAAUAGUGCAAAAUGGAGGGAGCUCUGAUGCAGCGACGCCGGGUGAGUGAAGAAGUAGUUCGAGAAGAAAAGCUCUAGCAGCAGGGAAGAUAGUGACGGUACCUGACGAAGAAGCUCCGGCUAAAUACGUG
Molecule: ribosomal RNA, 481 nt
Filed under: uncultured bacterium
Lineage: Bacteria
Description: partial 16S ribosomal RNA
Rfam family: Bacterial small subunit ribosomal RNA
Source: RNAcentral